GGAGAAGCAGCACCUGUACUGGGGAGGAGGAGGGACUGGGGCAGGUGAGGGCCGGAUGCCAGGUGCAGGAGGGAAGGGUUUCCGGCUUUGGUUUGCUGUGUAUCCUAACGUGUGAAGCAGUAGGCACUCAACCAAGAGCCGUUGAGUGAAAGAGUAGACCAGUUGUGCAGCAAAGUCCCUGUGGCCUGGAGGAAACUGCAAGGCUGGUUCUCUGCAGCACUGCCUUUAGAAGCUCGAAGCAGCUUCUGAAGCGGAGGUCCAGGAGCCAGAGUCUCUAAGGGCCUGUUCAAAGACGAAGAUGGAGGCCAGUGGGGAGAGGCCAAGGGAGACAGAGUCACAGGAAGAUGGAGAUUUCACCGACAUGCUUUCCCCUGCGUCAGAGGCCCUGAGAUACCUCCCUGCAACUCUGGAGCUCUUUGGAUGGCUGUCAAGAAACACCAUUUCAAUCCUUGCCAAGCUCAUGGAGGAAGAGAGCCUGGUCACCUGUGGCUCCUACCCGAGGCGCCUUGUUCACCCUACAAAUUUUCUCACUGGAGGAAAAAGCGUUCUAUCCUUGAAUGGGUUCUGAGUGGCAGCUGAGGUGGAGAGACACAGGCCUGGGAGAAAUGUGGGCGGUGCUGUGCCCCCAGGAGUCUGUCUUUGGGCUCCUGAAGUGACCGGCCGUGGCUGCAUCGAGUCACCCCACCUCUCAGGGCAGUGAGACUCUGGGCUUUGCUGAAGAAGGGGAAGGUGAGAGAGUGUGGAACAGACUUGUGCUGACAGCCGGCCGCUUCCCUGGGUAGACCUGCCCCUGUGGGAUGGGAAGCCCUCUGAGGGCCACCUUGCAGGUUGGUCUCAGAAGCGCUUCAGGGUUAAGUGGAGAAACAGCACCACAAACAGAAGAUGCAGAGCAUCCUCAGGUGGCCCAGGCGCCAGCUGUCUGCAGGUUACACUCCAGGGCGGCAUCUUCC
This 950-nucleotide long non-coding RNA is filed under the name Bos indicus x Bos taurus (hybrid cattle). RNAcentral describes it as "lncRNA (ENSBIXG00005022932.1)". The record is from RNAcentral. Lineage: Eukaryota; Metazoa; Chordata; Mammalia; Artiodactyla; Bovidae.